GGGGGAAGAAGGCUCUUGGGUUGUAAACCCCUUUUCUCUGGGAAGAAAGUUGUGAAAGCAGCCUGACGGUACCAGAGGAAUCAGCAUCGGCUAACUCCGUGCCAGCAGCCGCGGUAAGACGGAGGAUGCAAGCGUUAUCCGGAAUGAUUGGGCGUAAAGCGUCCGCAGGUGGCAGUUCAAGUCUGCUGUCAAAGACCGGGGCUCAACCUCGGAAAGGCAGUGGAAACUGAACAGCUAGAGUAUGGUAGGGGCAAAGGGAAUUCCUGGUGUAGCGGUGAAAUGCGUAGAGAUCAGGAAGAACAUCGGUGGCGAAGGCGCUUUGCUGGACCAUAAC
This 334-nucleotide ribosomal RNA is filed under the name uncultured cyanobacterium. RNAcentral's name for it is "bacterial SSU rRNA". It matches the Rfam family "Bacterial small subunit ribosomal RNA", at positions 403 to 740 of the family's 1533-position model. The record is from RNAcentral. Lineage: Bacteria; Bacillati; Cyanobacteriota.